AAUAUUAUAAAAAUUAUUUUCUUGUUUUGUUUAAUUUCUUUAUAUUAAAAUUAAUUGAUUGUUUUUGUAAAUGUUGUUGAUUAAAUUUUUUUUUGAUUAUAGUUUAUUUUUACUGUAUGGGUUAUUUUAUUAAUAUAUAAAAGUAGAUUUAUUGUUGUACCUUGUGUAUCAGGGUUUAUUAAAUUAUAUUAUGAAUUUUUUGUUUCCCGAUUUUGAAGGAUCUAAUUAAUUAUUUUAGUUAUUGUUUUAUAUAUAUUAAUAAUAAUUAAUUGGUGGUGAAAUGUUAUUCGGCUUUAAUGAUUUCUGGUUUUUCAAGAAAUGAAUUUAAUUCAUAUAUUAUUAUUAUAUUUCUAUUUUUUUAGUUUUUAUUUUAUUAAUAUAAAUGUCAUGGGGGAUAAGCUCUAUUGAUAUAUUUUUAUAAUUUUUUUAUUUUUUAAUUAUUGUUGGUUUUAUAAUAACUAUCAUUUUAAGUUUGUUAAAAUUUUAUUUUUUUUUGUUUUGAUUUAUAUUAAUAUUUAAUUAUUUUAUUGGAAUUUUUUAUUUAAUUAUUAUUUAUUUGUAAUUAUGAUAAAAUUAGUAAUUUCUAUUUAUUUUAUUAAUUUUCUAUUAAAAUUUUAAAAGGAACUAGGCAAAUAUUAUUAUUCUCGCAUGUUUAUCAAAAACAUCUUUUCUUGUAUUUGAUAUGAAAUAUGACCUGCCCACUGAAGUUGAUUGAAGGGCCGCGGUAUUUUGACCGUGCAAAGGUAGCAUAAUCAUUAGUCUUUUAAUUGUGGACUGGAAUGAAUGGUUGGACGAGGAAUAGACUGUUUCUUAUUAUUUUUAUUGAAUUUAAUUUUUAAGUUAAAAAGCUUAAAUUUAUUUAUGGGACGAGAAGACCCUAUAGAGUUUAUAUAUAUUAUUUAUUUAUUUUGUUUGAUUUUUAUUUUUAAAUAUUUAAUAUAUUUUGUUGGGGUGAUGGGAAGAUUUAAUUAACUCUUCUUUUUUUAUAUACAUUUAUUUAUGAGUGGUUGAUCCAAUUUUGUUGAUUAUAAGAUUAAAUUACCUUAGGGAUAACAGCGUAAUCUUUUUUGAGAGUUCUUAUUGAUAAAUGGGUUUGCGACCUCGAUGUUGGAUUAAGAUUUAAUUUGGGUGUAGAAUUUCAAUUUGUUUAGGUCUGUUCGACCUUUAAAAUCUUACAUGAUCUGAGUUCAGACCGGCGGGAGCCAGGUCGGUUUCUAUCUAUAAUAAAUUUUAUACCUUAGUACGAGAGGACCAGGUAUUUAAAAUAAUUUUUAUUUUGUGAUUAUUAAUAAUUUUU
This 1297-nucleotide ribosomal RNA is filed under the name Periplaneta lateralis (Turkestan cockroach). Its description in RNAcentral is "Shelfordella lateralis (Turkestan cockroach) 16S ribosomal RNA". The stretch from base 1049 to 1209 matches the Rfam family "Archaeal large subunit ribosomal RNA", at positions 2542 to 2701 of the family's 2987-position model. Lineage: Eukaryota; Metazoa; Arthropoda; Insecta; Blattodea; Blattidae. The record is from RNAcentral.